AGUGAACGCUGGCGGUAGGCCUAACACAUGCAAGUCGAACGGCCGCACAGUAAGCUCUUUCUCUUACUGUUGGCGACUGGCGGACGGGUGAGGCAUACAUCGGAAUCUUCUUUUUCGUGGGGGAUAACGUAGGGCCACUUCCGCUAAUACCUCAUACGACCUACGGCUUAAAUCAGGGGAUCUUCGGACCUUUCGCGAUUCAAUUAGCCGAUGUCGGAUUAGCUAGUUGGCGGGGUAAAGGCCCACCAAGGCGACGAUCCGUAGCUGGUCUGAGAGGAUGAUCAGCCACAAUGGAACUGAGACACGGUCCAGACUCCUACGGGAGGCAGCAGUGGGGAAUAUUGGGCAAUGGGCGAAAGCCUGAUCCAGCAAUACCGCGUGGGUGAAGAAGGCCUUCGGGUUGUAAAGCCCUUUUGUUGGGAAAGAAAAGAAGCAGGUGAAUACCCCGCUGUUCUGACGGUACCCAAAGAAUAAGCACCGGCUAACUUCGUG
This 492-nucleotide ribosomal RNA is filed under the name uncultured bacterium. RNAcentral's name for it is "partial 16S ribosomal RNA". It matches the Rfam family "Bacterial small subunit ribosomal RNA", at positions 29 to 507 of the family's 1533-position model. The record is from RNAcentral.